CUCAGGGGCGAAAGCUAGGGGAGCGAACGGGGUUAGAUACCCCGGUAGUCCUAGCUGUAAACGAUGACCACUAGGUGUGCGGGGUAUCGACCCCCUGCGUGCCGCAGCUAACGCAAUAAGUGGUCCGCCUGGGGAGUACGGUCGCAAGAUUAAAACUCAAAGGAAUUGACGGGGACCCGCACAAGCAGCGGAGCGUGUGGUUUAAUUCGACGCGACGCGCAGAACCUUACCAGGGUUUGACAUGCCGGUGCACCGGCCCGAGAAGGUCGUGCCCGCAAGGGACGCCGGCACAGGUGCUGCAUGGCUGUCGUCAGCUCGUGCCGUGAGGUGUUGGGUUAAGUCCCGCAACGAGCGCAACCCCCAUCGUCGGUUACAUGUAUCCGACGAGACUGCCUCGAUCAACGGGGAGGAAGGUGGGGAUGACGUCAAGUCAGCACGGCCCUUACAUCCUGGGCGACACACACGCUACGAUGGUCGCGGACAAUGGGGAGCCAACCCGCGAGGGGGAGCCAAUCCCAGCAAAGGCGGCCUCAGUUCGGAUUGCAGGCUGCAACCCGCCUGCAUGAAGUCGGAGUUGCUAGUAACCGUGGGUCAGCACACCACGGUGAAUACGUUCCCGGGUCUUGUACACACCGCCCGU
RNAcentral lists this ribosomal RNA (640 nucleotides) under uncultured soil bacterium. RNAcentral's name for it is "bacterial SSU rRNA". It matches the Rfam family "Bacterial small subunit ribosomal RNA", at positions 746 to 1397 of the family's 1533-position model. The record is from RNAcentral.